This 1503-nucleotide long non-coding RNA is filed under the name Apteryx rowi (Okarito brown kiwi). RNAcentral describes it as "lncRNA (ENSARWG00000004115.1)". Lineage: Eukaryota; Metazoa; Chordata; Aves; Apterygiformes; Apterygidae. The record is from RNAcentral.
CCCAGGGUAGGUCCCAAAACCCUCGCAGGACCCCCGGCUACCUCUCCUCUGCCUCUCACCCCCCGCUCAGGGUUGCGCCGGCAAGGAGUGGUAAUGCAAAGCGGCGUUUGGCCGCCGCCGGGAGAGUUUGCGCUUGGGGUACUGCGGGGCCAAGGAGCAGGGAGCCUCAGGGCGUAAGGACAGCGUCGCGCGUCCUUCUCGCCCACUGACAUCCCGGUCCUGCGGCGCUGCCGGGACGGAGAGCCCCAGCUCCGGCGCUGCGCAGCCUCGGGCUCUCCGCAGACCGCGGAGGGCGUUUUGGGGUGCGUCUGCAACCGUUUCUUUGCAUCGCGCGCUGCGGUUUGGCAGGAGGGCGCAGGAGCGGCGCAGCUGCUGGAGCGCGGUGGGUUUGCUGCACGCGGAGCGCUCUGCGUGCCUUCCCGCGGCCCCCGACGCGUGCCCUGACGGCCCAGCGCGACGCUCGGCUGCUGCUGAAGGCGGCCACCAAUAUCCCGUUAACUUCAGCUGGGCCGGGAUUCCUACAGGUUUUUACCGUCCCAUGCACAGGGUCAGCGGUGACGGAGGUCUGACCGGGGGCUCUUUGCCCAAGACACAGGCGGAGGAGAGGGACAGCGGGGCGCUCGCCGGAGCGACAGGCACACAGACCCGGGCAAACGCUGCUGCUGCCCACACUUCGUUCCAGCGGCCACUUUAACGAAGGCUUCUCUCAUCCGCAGCGCCAGGUGGUCGCUGGAGCUAAACGGGUGUUAACAGCCAAGCAAACAGGAGCGCGGGGCGCUGCACAGCCUGCCGAAGUCGCCGCUGCGCCCGAAGCGGUGCCUUCCUAGCAGCCCCAAGCAAAGCAAGCGUCCACGUUUCUAAGGCGAUAAAAAAAGCAGCCUUAUAAAAAAAUAUAUUUUCAGGUCUUCUAUUCAGCGCAGGGAAGCGAAACCUGGGCGUUUGCCCAAAUUUUUAUUUUCCUUUGCGGGUCACCUUUAAAAACUGAACAAAUGGAGGAUCUCAAUAUUGAAAUAGCAUAUGACUGGAAACUCGAUCAGCAGCUGAAAUCGCCGUGGCCUGCCUCCGACCAUCCCCGCCGGCGCUUCUCGCUGCGGCGCAGGAAGCCUGGGCCUCGCCGGUGCAGCGCGGCCGGGAGCCUGCGCUGGCAGCUGCUGAAGGGCUUCGGGCUCCGGCGAGUCCCUCCGGAUACGCUGUGCGGGAGAGAUAUGCCCUGACCUUUAAAASGCGGGACGUUUCAGGGGGGUGAUGCAAAUAUUGGCCCGGCUGAGGGAAAGUCCUUGCGCGGAAAAGCCCCGCGAAGGCUAGGCGCAGGUCUGCCCCUCCUCUCCGGGUCUGCGCUCCCGCCACGGCCCGCGUGCAGCGCCCGGCUCCCGCCCGGCCCCCCUCUACCUGCGCCGCAGCUGCCCCCUCGCUCGCCGCUGCGGCCCCCCUCCAGCCGGGGGUUGCCUCCAUCCGGCGAGCAAAUUAAAUAAAUCCUGAGCGUAUGCGGAUUUAUGACUUAAU